Molecule: ribosomal RNA, 442 nt
Filed under: uncultured Bacteroidota bacterium
Lineage: Bacteria; Pseudomonadati; Bacteroidota
Description: bacterial SSU rRNA
Rfam family: Bacterial small subunit ribosomal RNA
Source: RNAcentral
GGGCCCGCACAAGCGGAGGAACAUGUGGUUUAAUUCGAUGAUACGCGAGGAACCUUACCCGGGUUUGAACGCAUUUGGACCGAAGGGGAAACCCUUUUUCUAGCAAUAGUCAUUUGCGAGGUGCUGCAUGGUUGUCGUCAGCUCGUGCCGUGAGGUGUCGGCUUAAGUGCCAUAACGAGCGCAACCCUUAUCUUUAGUUACCAGCAUGUGAUGAUGGGGACUCUAAAGAGACUGCCGGCGUAAGCUGUGAGGAAGGUGGGGAUGACGUCAAAUCAGCACGGCCCUUACAUCCGGGGCGACACACGUGUUACAAUGGGUGGGACAGAAAGCAGCAAACUGGUGACAGUGCGCGAAUCUCCAAACCCACUCUCAGUUCGGAUCGAAGUCUGCAACUCGACUUCGUGAAGCUGGAUUCGCUAGUAAUCGCGCAUCAGCCAUGGCG